Long non-coding RNA from Carassius gibelio (silver crucian carp), 1367 nucleotides. RefSeq lists it as uncharacterized. Lineage: Eukaryota; Metazoa; Chordata; Actinopteri; Cypriniformes; Cyprinidae. The transcript has 5 exons. The record is from RefSeq and is a predicted model, not a curated record.
UGUACAACACAUAAGUAAGAUUUUUGGGCAUGUUUAAAAAAAAAAAAAAAAAAAAAAACUCUUUAACUCUGAAUCCAUGAAACAUUGUAUUUCCCCUUUAAGCAGAUGUGUGACACAUACGACCCCUUGCUGCGGCACGAGGAGCAUGUAAUAUGCAUUAAUGCUGUGAGUUGCAUAAUGGAGGGUGGUAGUCCAUCAAGGGAAGCAUACAGCCUUCGAAAUUUAGGAUAACGUCCAGUCUGAAUGAAAGUGCUCCAUAUAAACACCUCAAUCAGAAUAAAAGUAUCCAAACCAAAAUGGUAAUCUGUUGAAAGGGGUGGGAUAACCUUCUAUAACCAAACUAAAUCAAAAUCCUGCCAUGUGAACAUGUUAAACCAAUACUUGCACUGUAAAAAAUUGCUGUAGUUUCUACAGCAAAAUUUUACAGAAUUGUACUGUAUAAACAUUUUACAAGAUGCACCUGUAAUUCGCAAUGCAUUAUGGGUCAAAUAAGGUUUUAGUUGUUAACAGUAUAUUUCCACGUCAACUGUAAUUCAUUUACAAGAAGCAGGUGUUGUCACUGUAGUUCCUGCUUUUUACACUAACUUUCUGUAGUGUGGCAUUAUGGGAUUGCACGCGCAUCAUUCAUAUGAGAAACCCAGCCGACUGGAGCAGCUCGAGAACGAUUGAAGAUUAGAGGCUUUAUUCAUAAUUCCUGGAUGUUCACAUCCAUGAUGAUCCAUUAUACCAACAAUGUGAACAUUCACAUCGAGUGUCUAAGGGCAGCAGGAAACACUUCAAACCUUGUUCAAAACCACUUUACAGAGUCGAAAAGGUGCUGAUUAACAAGAGUCCUCAAAGAUGUAGCCAAGCUCAGCCCUCACUUCCAGACCUCAUCCUUGGAGGCCUUUCACAGUGUUAUUUUACGCUUUGCCCCCAAAAGUGUGGUAUUCCCUUUUAUUGGAAUGCUGUGCAGGUUAUAUUUGGCUGGCAUGCAUUUCAAUGAAAAUUCAAACCGUCCAAAGGCUACUACAUCAUCUGGAAAGCCAAUGUACAGACUUUUGUUCCCCAAGGCUAAAAAAAGGAUUGUACACCAUAAAACCAUUGACAUCCAACCCAACGUACUGCUACGUCUACAACCUGAUGACACUGCUUUUUGAAAAGGUUCUGCCAGAUCCUUUUCCCUACAUGGAGGAACUGCAUAAAAUUACAGUGUCUGACAGUCUAUGCACGCAGUAUGACAGACCUUCAUUGGAGGAGGCCAUUGCUGAGCACGUAUCAAGGUUUAGUCAAGGGGCAGUUUGAAUCCGACAUAGCUGCCGGUAUAUACACAGGACAACACAUGAUGGUAUUACAACCCUGAUCUUUCUGCCUAGAUAGCCCCAGCA